Molecule: ribosomal RNA, 492 nt
Filed under: uncultured bacterium
Lineage: Bacteria
Description: partial 16S ribosomal RNA
Rfam family: Bacterial small subunit ribosomal RNA
Source: RNAcentral
AGUGAACGCUGGCGGUAGGCCUAACACAUGCAAGUCGAACGGCAGCACAGUAAGAGCUUGCUCUUACGGGUGGCGAGUGGCGGACGAGUGAGGAAUACCUCGGAAUCUACUUUUUCGUGGGGGAUAACGUAGGGAAACUUACGCUAAUACCGCAUACGACCUACGGGUGAAAGCAGGGGAUCUUCGGACCUUGCGCGAUUGAAUGAGCCGAUGUCGGAUUAGCUAGUUGGCGGGGUAAAGGCCCACCAAGGCGACGAUCCGUAGCUGGUCUGAGAGGAUGAUCAGCCACACUGGAACUGAGACACGGUCCAGACUCCUACGGGAGGCAGCAGUGGGGAAUAUUGGACAAUGGGCGCAAGCCUGAUCCAGCCAUACCGCGUGGGUGAAGAAGGCCUUCGGGUUGUAAAGCACUUUUGUUGGGAAAGAAAAGCAGCAGGUUAAUACCCCGCUGUUCUGACGGUACCAAAAGAAUAAGCACCGGCUAACUUCGUG